UAACGAGGAACAAUUGGAGGCCAGUCUGGUGCCAGCACCCGCGGUAAUUCCAGCUCCAAUAGCGUAUAUUAAAGUUGUUGUGGUUAAAAAGCUCGUAGUUGAACCUUGGGCCUGGCUGGCCGGUCCGCCUCACCGCGUGUACUGGUCCGGCCGGGCCUUUCCCUCUGUGGAACCCCAUGCCCUUCACUGGGUGUGGCGGGGAAACAGGACUUUUACUGUGAAAAAAUUAGAGUGCUCCAGGCAGGCCUAUGCUCGAAUACAUUAGCAUGGAAUAAUAGAAUAGGACGUGUGGUUCUAUUUUGUUGGUUUCUAGGACCGCCGUAAUGAUUAAUAGGGACAGUCGGGGGCAUCAGUAUUCAAUUGUCAGAGGUGAAAUUCUUGGAUUUAUUGAAGACUAACUACUGCGAAAGCAUUUGCCAAGGAUGUUUUCAUUAAUCAGGAACGAAAGUUAGGGGAUCGAAGACGAUCAGAUACCGUCGUAGUCUUAACCAUAAACUAUGCCGACUAGGGAUCGGACGGUGUUAUUUUUUGACCCGUUCGGCACCUUACGAGAAAUCAAAGUGCUUGGGCUCCAGGGGGAGUAUGGUCGCAAGGCUGAAACUUAAAGAAAUUGACGGAAGGGCACCACCAGGGGUGGAGCCUGCGGCUUAAUUUGACUCAACACGGGGAAACUCACCAGGUCCAGACACAAUGAGGAUUGACAGAUUGAGAGCUCUUUCUUGAUUUUGUGGGUGGUGGUGCAUGGCCGUUCUUAGUUGGUGGAGUGAUUUGUCUGCUUAAUUGCGAUAACGAACGAGACCU
RNAcentral lists this ribosomal RNA (801 nucleotides) under uncultured Hypocreales. RNAcentral's name for it is "SSU rRNA". It matches the Rfam family "Eukaryotic small subunit ribosomal RNA", at positions 535 to 1343 of the family's 1831-position model. Lineage: Eukaryota; Fungi; Ascomycota; Sordariomycetes; Hypocreales. The record is from RNAcentral.